RNAcentral lists this ribosomal RNA (484 nucleotides) under uncultured bacterium. RNAcentral describes it as "partial 16S ribosomal RNA". It matches the Rfam family "Bacterial small subunit ribosomal RNA", at positions 30 to 507 of the family's 1533-position model. The record is from RNAcentral.
AUUGAACGCUGGCGGCAUGCUUUACACAUGCAAGUCGAACGGCAGCGCGGGCUUCGGCCUGGCGGCGAGUGGCGAACGGGUGAGUAAUACCUCGGAACGUGCCCGGUAGUGGGGGAUAGCUCGCCGAAAGCCGGAUUAAUACCGCAUACGACCUGAGGGUGAAAGUGGGGGAUCUUCGGACCUCGCGCUAUUGGAUCGGCCGAUGUCAGAUUAGCUAGUUGGUGGGGUAAAGGCCUACCAAGGCGACGAUCUGUAGCUGGUCUGAGAGGACGACCAGCCACACUGGAACUGAGACACGGCCCAGACUCCUACGGGAGGCAGCAGUGGGGAAUUUUGGACAAUGGGCGAAAGCCUGAUCCAGCAAUGCCGCGUGUGUGAUGAAGGUCUUCGGGUUGUAAAGCACUUUUAGCGGGAACGAAAAGGAGUGAGCCAAUGCCACGGUUCGAUGACGGUACCAGCAGAAUAAGCACCGGCUAACUACGUG